CCUACGGGUGGCAGCAGUCGAGAAUCAUUCACAAUGGGGGAAACCCUGAUGGUGCGACGCCGCGUGGGGGAAUGAAGGUCUUCGGAUUGUAAACCCCUGUCAUGUGGGAGCAAAUUAAAAAGAUAGUACCACAAGAGGAAGAGACGGCUAACUCUGUGCCAGCAGCCGCGGUAAUACAGAGGUCUCAAGCGUUGUUCGGAAUUACUGGGCGUAAGGCGUGCGUAGGCUGUUUCGUAAGUCGUGUGUGAAAGGCGCGGGCUCAACCCGCGGACGGCCCAUGAUACUGGGAGACUGGAGUAAUGGAGGGGGAAGUGGAAUUCUGGGUGUAGCAGUGAAAUGCGUAGAUAGCGAGAGGAACACUCGUGGCGAAGGCGGGUUCCUGGACAUUAACUGACGCUGAGGCACGAAGGCCAGGGGAGCGAAAGGGAUUAGAUACCCCUGUAGUC
RNAcentral lists this ribosomal RNA (446 nucleotides) under uncultured bacterium. Its description in RNAcentral is "partial 16S ribosomal RNA". It matches the Rfam family "Bacterial small subunit ribosomal RNA", at positions 338 to 795 of the family's 1533-position model. The record is from RNAcentral.